UUUUUUUAAUUAUUUCUUUUUAUUAGUUGAUUUUUCUCGUAUUGCUGGAUUGUUUUAUUUUUUACCUUUAUAAUGAGAUUUAUUCUCUGAAAUGAUAGGGCUAUCCAUGUGAACAAAAUAAUUACACACAUAAGAUCAAUUCUUAAAAGGUGAAUAUCAUAAUAUGGGGUUUGCUAUUGUGAUCAUUUAUGGUUAUCUAAAACAAUGCUUUUCAUGGUUGCUAUUUUAGUUGCACUCAUGGGUCAACAAGUUCUAUUGAACUAAUCCUAGUAGCAUUUCAUUUGUAGGAUUAAUAAUUUAAUAUUGAAAAAGUAAUCUAUAGUUAAUGUUUAUAUUAUUACAAUUAAGUUUUUGAAGGACAGCAGAAUUUGGGAUUUGCUCUAGUGAUCAUUUGUGUUCAUCUUAAUUUAGUAAGCAAUAUUUUUGUGGUUGUUAUUUUUGUUG
This 444-nucleotide unclassified non-coding RNA is filed under the name Hevea brasiliensis (rubber tree). Lineage: Eukaryota; Viridiplantae; Streptophyta; Magnoliopsida; Malpighiales; Euphorbiaceae. The record is from RNAcentral.